Non-coding RNA from Vicia faba (fava bean), 354 nucleotides. The record is from the annotation of a GenBank genome assembly. NCBI's taxonomy places the organism in Eukaryota, Viridiplantae, Streptophyta, Magnoliopsida, Fabales, Fabaceae.
AUGGAAAUGAAGAAGAUGAAGUGGUUUGGUUCAAGAAAUGAAGCACGUUUAGGUAGGAGUUAUACAACAAAGCCACAUAAUCAUCAUAGAAGCUAUGACGACAGCAAGAAAACAGUGUGGCAGAAGAUUUGGAGAAAGGUGAGAAGAGAUAAGAAGAAAGUUUUCAAUUAUGCUUCUUCUUCUGCAUCUUCUAGGGUGGAUAUUGAUGGUGUAUCUUAUGAUGAAGAAACAUAUUCUAUGAACUUUGAUCAAGGAACAGGGUGGAUGGAAGCAGAUAAUCUACCACGUUCAUUUUCUGCUCGGUAUGCUGACCCAUCUUGGAUCUUACCACCUAAACUUUUAUUGGGUAGAUGA